UACGGGGGGGGCAAGCGUUGUUCGGAAUUACUGGGCGUAAAGGGCUCGUAGGCGGCCAAUUAAGUCCGACGUGAAAUCCCCAGGCUUAACCUGGGAACUGCGUCGGAUACUGGAUGGCUUGAGGUUGGGAGAGGGAUGCGGAAUUCCAGGUGUAGCGGUGAAAUGCGCAGAUAUCAGGAGGAACACCGAUGGCGAAGGCAGGUCUCUGGGCCAUAACUGACGCUGAGAAGCGAAAGCAUGGGGAGCGAACAGG
This 253-nucleotide ribosomal RNA is filed under the name uncultured bacterium. RNAcentral describes it as "partial 16S ribosomal RNA". It matches the Rfam family "Bacterial small subunit ribosomal RNA", at positions 524 to 776 of the family's 1533-position model. The record is from RNAcentral.